Molecule: non-coding RNA, 83 nt
Organism: Oryctolagus cuniculus (rabbit)
Lineage: Eukaryota; Metazoa; Chordata; Mammalia; Lagomorpha; Leporidae
Source: Rfam
GGAGCUGUGGCACAGUGGGUUAACGCCCUGGCCUGAAGUGCCAGCAUCCCGUAUGGGCACCGGUUCUAGUCCCGGCUGCUCCA